RNAcentral lists this ribosomal RNA (108 nucleotides) under Phocoenobacter skyensis. RNAcentral describes it as "partial 23S ribosomal RNA". It matches the Rfam family "Bacterial large subunit ribosomal RNA", at positions 2819 to 2925 of the family's 2925-position model. The record is from RNAcentral. Lineage: Bacteria; Pseudomonadati; Pseudomonadota; Gammaproteobacteria; Pasteurellales; Pasteurellaceae.
UUUAGAAGUUGUAAGGGUUGUUUGAGACUAAGACGUAGAUAGGCAGGGUGUGUAAGCGUUGUGAGACGUUGAGCUAACCUGUACUAAUUGCCCGAGAGGCUUAACCAU